GAUGAACGCUGGCGGCGUGCCUAAUACAUGCAAGUCGAGCGAACAGAUGAGGAGCUUGCUCCUCUGACGUUAGCGGCGGACGGGUGAGUAACACGUGGAUAACCUACCUAUAAGACUGGGAUAACUUCGGGAAACCGGAGCUAAUACCGGAUAAUAUAUUGAACCGCAUGGUUCAAUAGUGAAAGACGGUUUUGCUGUCACUUAUAGAUGGAUCCGCGCCGCAUUAGCUAGUUGGUAAGGUAACGGCUUACCAAGGCAACGAUGCGUAGCCGACCUGAGAGGGUGAUCGGCCACACUGGAACUGAGACACGGUCCAGACUCCUACGGGAGGCAGCAGUAGGGAAUCUUCCGCAAUGGGCGAAAGCCUGACGGAGCAACGCCGCGUGAGUGAUGAAGGUCUUCGGAUCGUAAAACUCUGUUAUUAGGGAAGAACAAAUGUGUAAGGAACUAUGCACGGCUUGACGGUACCUAAUCAGAAAGCCACGGCUAACUACGUG
Molecule: ribosomal RNA, 497 nt
Filed under: uncultured bacterium
Lineage: Bacteria
Description: partial 16S ribosomal RNA
Rfam family: Bacterial small subunit ribosomal RNA
Source: RNAcentral